RNAcentral lists this ribosomal RNA (422 nucleotides) under uncultured bacterium. Its description in RNAcentral is "bacterial SSU rRNA". It matches the Rfam family "Bacterial small subunit ribosomal RNA", at positions 28 to 449 of the family's 1533-position model. The record is from RNAcentral.
GAUGAACGCUAGCGGUGUGCCUAAUGCAUGCAAGUCGAACGGGAUCCUUUGGAUUCGUCUGAAGGUGAGAGUGGCGAACGGGUGAGUAACACGUAGGUGACCUGCCCCGGAGAGGGGGACAACCACUGGAAACGGUGGCUAAUACCCCAGAUGUUAUUGCGCUUAGAAAGCAAUUACUAAAGUUCCGGCGCUCCGGGAGGGGCCUGCGGCCCAUCAGCUUGUUGGUAAGGUAAUGGCUUACCAAGGCUAAGACGGGUAGGGGGCGUGAGAGCGUGACCCCCCACACUGGUACUGAGACACGGACCAGAUACCUGCGGGUAGGCAGCAGCAAGGAAUAUUGCCCAAUGGACGAAAGUCUGAGGCAGCAACACCGCGUGGAGGAUGAAGGCCUUCGGUUGUAACUACCUUUCUUGGGGAAGGAG